UACGUAGGGCGCAAGCGUUAUCCGGAAUUAUUGGGCGUAAAGAGCUCGUAGGCGGUUUGUCGCGUCUGCUGUGAAAACUGGAGGCUCAACCUCCAGCCUGCAGUGGGUACGGGCAGACUAGAGUGCGGUAGGGGAGAUUGGAAUUCCUGGUGUAGCGGUGGAAUGCGCAGAUAUCAGGAGGAACACCGAUGGCGAAGGCAGAUCUCUGGGCCGUAACUGACGCUGAGGAGCGAAAGGGUGGGGAGCAAACAGG
Molecule: ribosomal RNA, 253 nt
Filed under: uncultured bacterium
Lineage: Bacteria
Description: partial 16S ribosomal RNA
Rfam family: Bacterial small subunit ribosomal RNA
Source: RNAcentral